RNAcentral lists this long non-coding RNA (530 nucleotides) under Manacus vitellinus (golden-collared manakin). Its description in RNAcentral is "lncRNA (ENSMVIG00005014166.1)". Lineage: Eukaryota; Metazoa; Chordata; Aves; Passeriformes; Pipridae. The record is from RNAcentral.
CACAUCACCAGCAUCGUGUAGGCAGGUACAAGAAAAAAACCUGUUGAGCUGUGCCUUUUCCUGCCACUGUCACACCCUCUGGCCUGAUGUGGACUGUGCCUGCUGCGAGCCAGGCAGCAACUGAAAAGCAUCAGGGAAUCACAUUAUGUUAGAUCCUUCCAGCUUCAAGUAAUUAACUCAGUCCAUUUUAUGGAACUGGGAUGAUUUUGAAGAAACUCCAAUGGAAUAUAUAGACAAUUCCUUGGCAAUCAGCAAAGCAGUAGCAGUUCAUGGAUCUGCCCUUCACAAACCUUGAAUUAGCUUUCAUCUUGCUGGCUUUUGUCAUUUUCACCUUGUUUACCCUGGCUUCUAUCUACAGUGACUCCCAUGACAACAAAGAAGGGGUCUUGAAAACUUCUUUCACUGUGAUGCAAACUAGCAGCACUUUCCUUGCAUGUGGGACAAGUUAAGAACACCCAUAUGAACAGGUAGGAUGGCUCAUCUGGAACUUGUUAUGCUAACAUAAAUCAGCCGUGUUUGAUACAGGCCUU